GCUAGGCAUGGUGGCCUAUGCCUGUAAUCCCAGCAGCUCAGGAGGCUGAGGCAGAAGGACCACAAGUUCAAAGCCAGUCUAAGCAAAAGUGAGGUGCUAAGCAACUCAGUGAGACCCUGUCUCUA
This 125-nucleotide small RNA is filed under the name Marmota monax (woodchuck). Lineage: Eukaryota; Metazoa; Chordata; Mammalia; Rodentia; Sciuridae. The record is from RNAcentral.